RNAcentral lists this ribosomal RNA (100 nucleotides) under uncultured bacterium. RNAcentral describes it as "partial 16S ribosomal RNA". It matches the Rfam family "Bacterial small subunit ribosomal RNA", at positions 1384 to 1482 of the family's 1533-position model. The record is from RNAcentral.
UACACACCGCCCGUCACGUCAUGAAAGUUGGAGACGCCUGAAGUCGGUUCGGUAACCUUUAUGGAGCCAGCCGCCGAGGGUGGUGCCAGCGAUUGGGACG